Molecule: ribosomal RNA, 196 nt
Filed under: uncultured bacterium
Lineage: Bacteria
Description: partial 16S ribosomal RNA
Rfam family: Bacterial small subunit ribosomal RNA
Source: RNAcentral
ACGCUCGACACCUAGAGGCAGCAGUGGGGAAUAUUGCACAAUGGGGGAAACCCUGAUGCAGCGACGCCGCGUGAGCGAAGAAGUAUUUCGGUAUGUAAAGCUCUAUCAGCAGGGAAGAAACUGACGGUACCUGACUAAGAAGCACCGGCUAAAUACGUGCCAGCAGCCGACGGUAAUCUGAGCGGGCUGGCAAGGC